RNAcentral lists this ribosomal RNA (3684 nucleotides) under Triticum aestivum (bread wheat). Its description in RNAcentral is "partial small subunit ribosomal RNA". Lineage: Eukaryota; Viridiplantae; Streptophyta; Magnoliopsida; Poales; Poaceae. The record is from RNAcentral.
AUGUACCUCUACAGCCUGACGCUGCAGCGGGCGACGGGCGCCGUGUGCGCCGUCAUCGGCAGCUUCAGCGGCCGCGACUCGAAGAAGUCGAACGCCGCGGGCUCCUCCACGCAGGAGAUCGCCGUCGCCCGCGGCGGCACGCUCGAUCUCCUCCGCCCGGACCCGGAGACGGGCCGCCUCCGCACGCUCCUCUCCGUCGACGUCUUCGGCGCCAUCCGCUCGCUCGCCCAGUUCCGCCUCACGGGGGCCACCAAGGACUACCUCGUCGUCGGCUCCGACUCCGGCCGCCUCGUCAUCCUCGAGUACUCCCCCGACCGCAACCGCUUCGACAAGGUCCACCAGGAGACCUUCGGCAAGUCCGGCUGCCGCCGCAUCGUGCCCGGCCAGCUCCUCUCCGUCGACCCCAAGGGCCGGGCGCUCUGCAUCGCCGCCCUCGAGAAGCAGAAGCUCGUCUACGUCCUCAACCGCGACGCCUCCGCCCGCCUCACCAUCUCCUCCCCGCUAGAGGCGCACAAGUCCCACACGCUCACCUUCGCCCUCACGGCCCUCGACUGCGGAUUUGACAACCCUGUCUUUGGUGCCAUCGAGCUCGAGUACGGUGACUCUGACCGUGACCCCACAGGGCAGGCUGCUAGCCACGCGCAGAAGCUCCUCACCUUCUACGAGCUCGACCUGGGGCUCAAUCAUGUUUCCCGCAAGGUCUCCGAGCCGAUUGACAAUGGUGCUAAUAUGCUAGUGACAGUGCCUGGUGGUGCUGAUGGCCCUAGCGGGCUUCUUGUUUGCUGUGACAACUUUGUCCUGUACCGGAAUCAGGGCCACCCGGAGGUUCGUGCUGUCAUUCCACGCCGUGUUGACCUCCCGGCUGAGCGUGGCGUCCUCAUAGUUGCUGCUGCCACGCACAGGCAGAAGAGCUUGUUCUUCUUCUUACUACAGACUGAGUAUGGUGAUAUCUUCAAGGUUGACCUGGACCACCAUGGUGAUACUGUUAGUGAGCUCAGGAUCAAAUAUUUUGACACCAUACCUGUGGCAUCUGCUAUCUGUGUGCUGCGGUCAGGCUUCCUCUUUGCUGCUUCUGAGUUUGGCAACCAUGCACUUUACCAAUUCCGUGAUAUUGGCCGGGAUGUGGAUGUUGAGUCCUCCUCUGCGACACUGAUGGAGACAGAGGAGGGGUUCCAGCCAGUGUUCUUUCAGCCGAGGGCACUCAAGAACCUUGUCCGGAUUGAUGAGAUAGAGAGCCUCAUGCCAAUCAUGGACAUGCGUAUUGCAAAUUUAUUCGACGAGGAAACACCCCAGGUGUACACAGCUUGUGGCCGUGGCUCACGCUCCACGCUGCGCAUCCUUAGGCCUGGCCUUGCCAUCAGCGAGAUGGCCCGAUCAAUGCUGCCUGCUGAGCCCAUUGCUGUUUGGACUGUCAAGAAGAAUAUCAAUGACAUGUUUGACGCCUACAUUGUUGUGUCCUUUGCUAAUGUCACACUUGUGCUCUCAAUUGGAGAGACCAUUGAAGAAGUCAGCGACAGCCAGUUCCUGGACACCACUCACUCACUAGCAGUUUCGCUCCUUGGUGAGGAUUCUCUCAUGCAGGUCCACCCGAACGGUAUCAGGCAUAUCAGGGAGGAUGGCCGUGUCAAUGAGUGGAGGACGCCUGGGAAGAAAACUAUCACCAAGGUUGGAUCAAACCGGCUCCAGGUGGUAAUUGCCCUCAGUGGUGGAGAGCUCAUCUAUUUUGAGAUGGAUAUGACAGGUCAGCUCAUGGAGGUGGAGAAGCAGGACAUGUCUGGUGAUGUCGCGUGCCUGGCCAUUGCCCCCGUUCCUGAAGGGAGGCAAAGGUCCCGUUUUCUCGCAGUUGGCUCCUAUGAUAACACCAUCAGGAUACUCUCCCUUGACCCCGAUGACUGCUUGCAGCCUCUUAGUGUACAAAGUGUGUCCUCGGCUCCGGAAUCUCUCUUGUUCUUAGAAGUACAGGCAUCAGUUGGUGGCGAGGAUGGUGCAGAUUAUCCAGCCAACCUUUUCCUUAAUGCUGGUUUGCAGAAUGGUGUCCUUUUCCGAACCAAUGUUGACAUGGUCACUGGUCAGCUAUCAGACACACGGUCUCGAUUCCUUGGUCUGAGACCUCCAAAGCUGUUUCCCUGCAUAGUUAGCCACCGACAAGCAAUGCUUUGCCUGUCCAGCCGCCCCUGGCUUGGCUAUAUACAUCAAGGUCACUUCCUCUUGACACCACUCUCAUGCGACACACUUGAGUCUGCUGCGUCGUUCUCUUCUGACCAGUGCUCAGAAGGUGUUGUUGCUGUUGCUGGAGACGCUCUGCGUAUUUUCACCAUCGAACGUCUGGGAGAGACAUUCAAUGAGACAUCUAUCCCUCUGCGUUACACCCCGAGGAAAUUUGUGAUUCUACCAAAAAAGAAAUACCUUGCAGUCAUUGAGAGUGACAAGGGUGCAUUUAGCGCAGAACAGCGAGAAGCUGCUAAGAAGGAGUGCCUUGAGGCUGCUGGUGCGGCAGAAAAUGGAAAUGGUAAUGGGAAUCAAAUGGAGAAUGGUGAUGGUCAAGAAGAUGGUGAGGAGAGUAACACACUUCCUGAUGAACAAUAUGGUUACCCAAAGGCAGAAUCAGAAAAGUGGGUUUCCUGCAUUAGAAUUCUUGAUCCGAGGAGCACGGACACAACUUGUCUUCUGGAAUUGCAGGACAAUGAGGCGGCUGUCAGUAUUUGCACUGUGAAUUUCCAUGAUAAGGAGCAUGGUACUCUUCUGGCUGUUGGUACUACCAAGGGAUUGCAGUUCUGGCCAAAGAGGAGCCUCGCUUCUGGUUUCAUCCACAUAUACAAGUUUGUCAAUGAAGGGAAGUCGCUUGAACUUCUUCACAAAACACAAGUGGAGGAAGUGCCUCUUUCUUUGUGCCAGUUUCAGGGUCGGUUGCUUGCAGGUGUUGGUUCAGUGCUGAGGUUAUAUGAUCUGGGGAAGAGAAAGUUGCUCAGAAAAUGUGAAAACAAGCUUUUCCCAAGGACAAUAGUGUCUAUUCAUACUUACCGUGAUAGGAUCUAUGUUGGUGAUAUGCAAGAGUCGUUUCAUUAUUGCAAGUACAGACGGGACGAAAACCAGCUGUAUAUCUUUGCUGAUGACAGUGUUCCUAGAUGGCUUACAGCAGCAAAUCACAUAGAUUUCGACACUAUGGCAGGAGCCGACAAGUUUGGGAACAUAUAUUUUGCUCGUCUUCCCCAGGAUCUCUCAGAUGAAAUUGAGGAAGACCCAACUGGAGGCAAGAUUAAAUGGGAGCAAGGGAAGUUAAAUGGUGCUCCAAACAAAGUGGAGGAGAUUGUGCAGUUUCAUGUUGGUGAUGUUGUGACAUGUUUGCAGAAGGCUUCUUUGAUACCUGGCGGAGGUGAAUGUCUUAUUUAUGGGACUGUGAUGGGUAGUGUUGGAGCACUGCUUGCAUUCACCUCCAGGGAAGAUGUUGACUUCUUCUCUCAUUUGGAGAUGCAUCUCCGCCAGGAGCAUCCACCAUUAUGUGGAAGAGAUCACAUGGCCUACAGAUCUGCAUAUUUCCCAGUGAAGGAUGUGAUUGAUGGUGAUCUCUGUGAGCAGUAUCCAGCCCUUCCAGCUGAUAUGCAGAGGAAGAUUGCCGAUGAGCUUGACCGAACUCCAGGUGAAAUCCUGAAGAAGCUGGAAGACAUCAGAAACAAAAUCAUCUAG